Molecule: ribosomal RNA, 506 nt
Filed under: uncultured bacterium
Lineage: Bacteria
Description: partial 16S ribosomal RNA
Rfam family: Bacterial small subunit ribosomal RNA
Source: RNAcentral
AGUGAACGCUGGCGGUAGGCCUAACACAUGCAAGUCGAACGGCAGCACAGGAGAGCUUGCUCUCUGGGUGGCGAGUGGCGGACGGGUGAGGAAUACAUCGGAAUCUACUCUGCCGUGGGGGAUAACGUAGGGAAACUUACGCUAAUACCGCAUACGACCUACGGGUGAAAGCAGGGGAUCUUCGGACCUUGCGCGAUUGAAUGAGCCGAUGUCGGAUUAGCUAGUUGGCGGGGUAAAGGCCCACCAAGGCGACGAUCCGUAGCUGGUCUGAGAGGAUGAUCAGCCACACUGGAACUGAGACACGGUCCAGACUCCUACGGGAGGCAGCAGUGGGGAAUAUUGGACAAUGGGCGCAAGCCUGAUCCAGCCAUACCGCGUGGGUGAAGAAGGCCUUCGGGUUGUAAAGCCCUUUUGUUGGGAAAGAAAUCCAGCUGGCUAAUACCCGGUUGGGAUGACGGUACCCAAAGAAUAAGCACCGGCUAACUUCGUGCCAGCAGCCGCCGUAA